RNAcentral lists this ribosomal RNA (334 nucleotides) under Escherichia coli. RNAcentral describes it as "bacterial SSU rRNA". It matches the Rfam family "Bacterial small subunit ribosomal RNA", at positions 292 to 618 of the family's 1533-position model. Lineage: Bacteria; Pseudomonadati; Pseudomonadota; Gammaproteobacteria; Enterobacterales; Enterobacteriaceae. The record is from RNAcentral. RNAcentral also lists the same sequence under 1 other name.
CUGAGAGGAUGACCAGCCACACUGGAACUGAGACACGGUCCAGACUCCUACGGGAGGCAGCAGUGGGGAAUAUUGCACAAUGGGCGCAAGCCUGAUGCAGCCAUGCCGCGUGUAUGAAGAAGGCCUUCGGGUUGUAAAGUACUUUCAGCGGGGAGGAAGGGAGUAAAGUUAAUACCUUUGCUCAUUGACGUUACCCGCAGAAGAAGCACCGGCUAACUCCGUGCCAGCAGCCGCGGUAAUACGGAGGGUGCAAGCGUUAAUCGGAAUUACUGGGCGUAAAGCGCACGCAGGCGGUUUGUUAAGUCAGAUGUGAAAUCCCCGGGCUCAACCUGGG